RNAcentral lists this ribosomal RNA (473 nucleotides) under uncultured bacterium. Its description in RNAcentral is "bacterial SSU rRNA". It matches the Rfam family "Bacterial small subunit ribosomal RNA", at positions 329 to 793 of the family's 1533-position model. The record is from RNAcentral.
CGCUAUCAUCCUACGGGAGGCAGCAGUGGGGGAAUAUUGCACAAUGGGCGCAAGCCUGAUGCAGCCAUGCCGCGUGUAUGAAGAAGGCCUUCGGGUUGUAAAGUACUUUCAGCAGUGAGGAAGGCGGGUGCGUUAAUAGCGUGCUCGUUUGACGUUUAGCUGCAGAAGAAGCACCGGCUAACUCCGUGCCAGCAGCCGCGGUAAUACGGAGGGUGCGAGCGUUAAUCGGAAUUACUGGGCGUAAAGCGCAUGCAGGUGGUUUGUUAAGUCAGAUGUGAAAGCCCGGGGCUCAACCUCGGAAUUGCAUUUGAAACUGGCAGACUAGAGUACUGUAGAGGGGGUAGAAUUUCAGGUGUAGCGGUGAAAUGCGUAGAGAUCUGAAGGAAUACCGGUGGCGAAGGCGGCCCCCUGGACAGAUACUGACACUCAGAUGCGAAAGCGUGGGGAGCAAACAGGAUUAGAUACCCUGGUAG